GCAAAUCGUUAUCCUUUCACUGAGGAUCUUGGCAAGCAAAAGCGGAUGAUUGAUGAGGUCUCAGGAAGAGUCUCAGAAUUGAAGACUACCCUAGAUUCAGGAAUACUUCAUAGGAGCAAUUUGCUGCAGACUAUUGGUGAUCAAUUUGUGCAGUGGAACUCAAUGGUGAGGAAGGAGAAAUCCAUCUACCACACUCUAAACAUGCUUAGUCUUGAUGUGACAAAAAAGUGUCUUGUCGCUGAGGGGUGGAGUCCUGUUUUUGCCUCAAAGCAGAUCCAAGAAGCAUUGCAACGUGCUGCAUUUGAUUCCAACUCACAGGUUGGGGCCAUUUUCCAGGUUUUGCAUACAAAGGAGUCCCCACCUACAUAUUUUCGCACAAAUAAAUUUACUACUGCUUUUCAAGAAAUUGUUGAUGCAUAUGGGGUGGCCAAGUAUCAAGAAGCAAAUCCUGGUGUAUACACUAUUGUUACAUUCCCUUUUCUUUUUGCUGUCAUGUUUGGUGAUUGGGGGCAUGGAAUAUGCUUGUUACUUGCAACCCUAAUCUACAUAAUCAGGGAAAAGAAACUUUCUGGCCAGAAGCUUGGGGAUAUUACUGAAAUGACCUUUGGUGGUCGUUAUGUUAUCUUGUUGAUGGCACUCUUCUCAAUUUACACCGGUUUGAUCUAUAAUGAGUUCUUCUCAGUUCCCUUUGAGCUGUUUGGAAGCUCAGCAUAUGCAUGUCGUGAUCUUUCUUGCAGGGAUGCUACUACAGAGGGGUUGAUUAAGGUGGGCUCCACUUACCCAUUUGGUGUGGAUCCUGUGUGGCAUGGCACUCGCAGUGAGCUGCCAUUUCUAAACUCUUUGAAGAUGAAAAUGUCAAUCCUUCUUGGAGUUGCCCAAAUGAAUCUUGGUAUCAUAUUGAGUUACUUCAAUGCUGUUUAUUUUCGAAAUGGCUU
RNAcentral lists this unclassified non-coding RNA (935 nucleotides) under Hevea brasiliensis (rubber tree). Lineage: Eukaryota; Viridiplantae; Streptophyta; Magnoliopsida; Malpighiales; Euphorbiaceae. The record is from RNAcentral.